RNAcentral lists this ribosomal RNA (253 nucleotides) under uncultured bacterium. Its description in RNAcentral is "partial 16S ribosomal RNA". It matches the Rfam family "Bacterial small subunit ribosomal RNA", at positions 524 to 776 of the family's 1533-position model. The record is from RNAcentral.
GACGAACCGUGCGAACGUUGUUCGGAAUCACUGGGCUUAAAGGGCGCGUAGGCGGGUCUUCAAGUUUGGGGUGAAAUCCUCCGGCUCAACCGGAGAACUGCCUCGAAUACUGAAGGUCUCGAGGGGGAUAGGGGCAUGCGGAACUACGGGUGGAGCGGUGAAAUGCGUUGAUAUCCGUAGGAACUCCGGUGGCGAAGGCGGCGUGCUGGAUCGCUUCUGACGCUGAGGCGCGAAAGCCAGGGGAGCAAACGGG